RNAcentral lists this ribosomal RNA (589 nucleotides) under Saccharomyces cerevisiae (brewer's yeast). RNAcentral's name for it is "partial large subunit ribosomal RNA". It matches the Rfam family "Eukaryotic large subunit ribosomal RNA", at positions 64 to 671 of the family's 3401-position model. The record is from RNAcentral. Lineage: Eukaryota; Fungi; Ascomycota; Saccharomycetes; Saccharomycetales; Saccharomycetaceae.
ACAACGCGCAUUGCUUAGUACGGCGAGUGAGCGGCAAAAGCUCAAAUUUGAAAUCUGGUACCUUCGGUGCCCGAGUUGUAAUUUGGAGAGGGCAACUUUGGGGCCGUUCCUUGUCUAUGUUCCUUGGAACAGGACGUCAUAGAGGGUGAGAAUCCCGUGUGGCGAGGAGUGCGGUUCUUUGUAAAGUGCCUUCGAAGAGUCGAGUUGUUUGGGAAUGCAGCUCUAAGUGGGUGGUAAAUUCCAUCUAAAGCUAAAUAUUGGCGAGAGACCGAUAGCGAACAAGUACAGUGAUGGAAAGAUGAAAAGAACUUUGAAAAGAGAGUGAAAAAGUACGUGAAAUUGUUGAAAGGGAAGGGCAUUUGAUCAGACAUGGUGUUUUGUGCCCUCUGCUCCUUGUGGGUAGGGGAAUCUCGCAUUUCACUGGGCCAGCAUCAGUUUUGGUGGCAGGAUAAAUCCAUAGGAAUGUAGCUUGCCUCGGUAAGUAUUAUAGCCUGUGGGAAUACUGCCAGCUGGGACUGAGGACUGCGACGUAAGUCAAGGAUGCUGGCAUAAUGGUUAUAUGCCGCCCGUCUUGAACCACGGACCAACA